UACGGAGGGUGCGAGCGUUGUCCGGAAUCACUGGGCGUAAAGGGCGCGUAGGCGGCCUGAUAAGUAGGGGGUGAAAUCCUGCGGCUUAACCGCAGGGCUGCCUUCUAAACUGCCAGGCUCGAGCACAGUAGAGGCAGGUGGAAUUCCCGGUGUAGCGGUGGAAUGCGUAGAGAUCGGGAAGAACAUCAGUGGCGAAGGCGGCCUGCUGGGCUGUUGCUGACGCUGAGGCGCGACAGCGUGGGGAGCAAACAGG
Molecule: ribosomal RNA, 253 nt
Filed under: uncultured bacterium
Lineage: Bacteria
Description: partial 16S ribosomal RNA
Rfam family: Bacterial small subunit ribosomal RNA
Source: RNAcentral